This 494-nucleotide ribosomal RNA is filed under the name Amanita brunneostrobilipes. Its description in RNAcentral is "partial large subunit ribosomal RNA". It matches the Rfam family "Eukaryotic large subunit ribosomal RNA", at positions 90 to 581 of the family's 3401-position model. The record is from RNAcentral. Lineage: Eukaryota; Fungi; Basidiomycota; Agaricomycetes; Agaricales; Amanitaceae.
CGAGUGAAGCGGGAAAAGCUCAAAUUUAAAAUCUGAUGGUCUUUGAUCGGUCAGAAUUGUAACCUAGAGAAGUGUUGCCCGUGCUGGACCAUGUAUAAGUCUCCUGGGAUGGAGCGUCACAGAGGGUGAGAAUCCCGUCUUUGACAUGGACUACCAGUGCAUUGUGGUAUGCUCUCAAAGAGUUGAGUUGUUUGGGAAUGCAGCUCUAAAUGGGUGGUAAAUUCCAUCUAAAGCUAAAUAUUGGCGAGAGACCGAUAGCGAACAAGUACCGUGAGGGAAAGAUGAAAAGAACUUUGGAAAGAGAGUUAAACAGUAUGUGAAAUUGUUGAAAGGGAAACGCUUGAAGUCAGUCGUGUUGGUCAGGGAUCAAGUUGGUUAUUUUGCUGACUGUAUUUCCUGGCUGAUGGGCCAACAUCAGUUUUGACUGCUGGAGAAAGACUGAGGGAAUGUGGCACCCUUGGGUGUGUUAUAGCUCUGAGUCAUAUACAGGAGUU